UUCCAGACUCCUACGGGAGGCAGCAGUGGGGAAUAUUGGGCAAUGGGCGCAAGCCUGACCCAGCAACGCCGCGUGAAGGAAGAAGGCCCUCGGGUUGUAAACUUCUUUUGUCAGGGACGAAGAAAGUGACGGUACCUGACGAAUAAGCCACGGCUAACUACGUGCCAGCAGCCGCGGUAAUACGUAGGUGGCAAGCGUUAUCCGGAUUUACUGGGUGUAAAGGGCGUGUAGGCGGGACUGCAAGUCAGAUGUGAAAAUUAUGGGCUCAACCCAUAACCUGCAUUUGAAACUGUAGUUCUUGAGUGAUGGAGAGGCAGGCGGAAUUCCGUGUGUAGCGGUGAAAUGCGUAGAUAUCAGGAGGAACACCGGUGGCGAAGGCGGCCUGCUGGACUGCAACUGACGUUGAGGCCCGAAAGCGUGGGGAGCAAACAGGAUUAGAUACCCCCGUAAAA
Molecule: ribosomal RNA, 452 nt
Filed under: uncultured bacterium
Lineage: Bacteria
Description: partial 16S ribosomal RNA
Rfam family: Bacterial small subunit ribosomal RNA
Source: RNAcentral